GGCCGCUGAUGUUCACAAAUUUGUCCGUACCAUCUGAUUUCUGAUUGAUUACCAAUUAUCCUUCUGAGGCCU
Molecule: small nucleolar RNA, 72 nt
Rfam family: small nucleolar RNA snoR117
Source: Rfam